GAUGAAGAACGUAGCGAAAUGCGAUACGUAAUGUGAAUUGCAGAAUUCAGUGAAUCAUCGAAUCUUUGAACGCAUAUUGCGCUCUCUGGUAUUCCGGAGAGCAUGCUUGUUUGAGUAUCAGUAAACACCUCAACUCCCUUUUCUUUUUUGAAAUGGGAGCUGGACUUGAGUGAUCCCAACACUUUUCUCACUGGAAAGUGGCGGGUCACUUGAAAUGAAGGUGCAGGUGGACUUUUCUCUGAGCUAUAAGCAUAUCUAUUUAGUCUGCCUAAAAAACAGAUUAUUACCUUUGCUGCAGCUAACAUAAAGGAGAUGAGUUCUUGUGCUGACUGAUGCAGGAUUCACAGAGACAGCUUUGCGGCUGACUUUGUAAACUCGAUCUCAAAUCAAGUAAGACUACCCGCUGAACUUAAGCAUAUCAAUAAGCGGAGGA
Molecule: unclassified non-coding RNA, 433 nt
Filed under: soil metagenome
Description: partial contains 5.8S ribosomal RNA, internal transcribed spacer 2, and large subunit ribosomal RNA
Rfam family: 5.8S ribosomal RNA (bases 1-120)
Source: RNAcentral